UACGGAGGAUGCAAGCGUUAUCCGGAUUCAUUGGGUUUAAAGGGUGCGUAUGCGGGCUAUUAAGUCAGUGGUGAAAUCCUGCAGCUUAACUGCAGAACUGCCGUUGAUACUGAUAGUCUUGAGUUUGGUUAAGGUAGGCGGAAUGUGUAAUGUAGCGGUGAAAUGCUUAGAUAUUACACAGAACACCAAUUGCGUAGGCAGCUUACUGAGCCGACACUGACGCUGAGGCACGAAAGCGUGGGGAUCAAACA
This 251-nucleotide ribosomal RNA is filed under the name uncultured prokaryote. RNAcentral describes it as "partial 16S ribosomal RNA". It matches the Rfam family "Bacterial small subunit ribosomal RNA", at positions 524 to 774 of the family's 1533-position model. The record is from RNAcentral.